RNAcentral lists this transfer RNA (72 nucleotides) under Camelus bactrianus (Bactrian camel). It matches the Rfam family "tRNA". Rfam says of the family: Transfer RNA (tRNA) molecules are approximately 80 nucleotides in length. Their secondary structure includes four short double-helical elements and three loops (D, anti-codon, and T loops). Further hydrogen bonds mediate the characteristic L-shaped molecular structure. tRNAs have two regions of fundamental functional importance: the anti-codon, which is responsible for specific mRNA codon recognition, and the 3' end, to which the tRNAs corresponding amino acid is attached (by aminoacyl-tRNA synthetases). tRNAs cope with the degeneracy of the genetic code in two manners: having more than one tRNA (with a specific anti-codon) for a particular amino acid; and 'wobble' base-pairing, i.e. permitting non-standard base-pairing at the 3rd anti-codon position. Lineage: Eukaryota; Metazoa; Chordata; Mammalia; Artiodactyla; Camelidae. The record is from Rfam by way of RNAcentral. RNAcentral also lists the same sequence under 2 other names.
GAGGGUAUAGCUCAGUGGUAGAGCGCGUGCUUAGCCUGUUUGAGAUGCUGGGUUCAGUCCCCAGUGCCUCUG